CACCGCACGGCCCCACCCUGCGCGCGCUGGGCCCGGGGGCCGUCAGAGCCGGGUGCGUUUGCGCAGCUGCCGCCCCCGCCUGCCGCCCGGCUUCUCAGCGCCGGGCCCCGCUGCUGGCCCGAGAAACGGCGGCGAAGCGGCCGGAGGGGACCGUGGUCUCGGCGGCCAGCAGACAGUUGUAAUACCCGCUCGAGAAUUCAGUGUUACGGAGAGCGCAAGGCCAACAAAUUCUGCCUCAAGUCCUGAGACUGUAGCCUUCUGGGCUACCUGUUGAAGAUGAUGGAGAAUGCAGUGUAAUGCUGUGUGCUGCCUGGGAAACAUUGCUCAACAUGCUGACAGACACCCUGCGAGGAAGUAAGGAAAGCAAGAAAUUAAAAAUGAAAUUAAACAGAUUUGAGAUCAAUCUUCACCUCCCCACCCCUAAACAACCUCUAAACAAUCCUCAGUCAUCCUGGAGAGCAAAGUUAAAUUCCCGCUGAACCAAUAAAAUAUUUUAGUAGAACAGCUGGAUGUAAUAGCACCAUGAAUCACUAUUUUACACUGCUAAGAGAACCACAGUUCAAUGUACCAUAUAACUGCUUCUUAAUUUUUUGUUACAGCAGGAGGGAUGACAGGAUUUCUCGUUUUCCAUUCCUCUGCCCUAAUUAUCAGGCUCUUCAGUAUGUACGAACAUCAACAGAUUAAGGAAAAUGCAGACGAAGCUCAAGUGAAUAGAAAUUUUAAAAAAAAGUUUUUUCUUGAGAAAUCCUCAAAAGAAAAACUAAGUGAAGCAAGAAAACACCCAAUCCACAUGUUUAAGAAAAAAAAAAGUUUUGCUGUGAGCAAAGAACCUAACAAAAUGAAUGUUUCUGUAAUUCAUUACUUUUUUAGGCAUCCCACAUAUUCCCUAUUAUAUCUUGAGUCUAGCAGCUUAGCCAUUAAAUCUGCUGUACAACAGAGUUGACGAAAAAGGAGACAAAAGUAUAUCAUGUAUCAGACAAGACAAGGUAAACAUAGGCCUAAGAUCAAAUAUAGCAUUUCCAAGGUCUUGAGAACAGAGUUACGAAAGCGGUCACUGGUGCAACUAACAAAGUGAGGUUGUGUUAAGGUUCUGGGGAAACAUCAAACAAAACAGAGACACAAAUGGCAUUGUGUGAUGAAGGUUAUUGCAGUUCAGAACUACAUAAAUACCUGUAGAUUUUCUAAUACUGAAAUCCUACCAUGAGAGAUUCAUGAAGACUUAACUGCAGAAGGUUUUUAAGGGGGGCGGGGGAGGAGGGUGUGAGUAAAAAAAAAAUAAUUAAAAAACCCCCACAACUCCAGCAGUCCAAACAACAUAUGUUUUAUAUACCCUAGCUUCUGUCAGGAAAGGCAGUUUCCCUGCACUGCCCCCCAACAUCCCUCACUACCAAAAAAGCCUUACCAUGAAUUUGGUGUCGCCUUUAGAGAGCAUAUCUGUGACAAAGUGGACUUUUUCCAGUUGUUCUACAACUUGACGUAGAAGUUUUGGCUAGAAACAGUGACAACAGAGAAGAAGUUAUUUCACAAAUAACAAGAAUAUCUUACCCAUUUAUCAGGCAACGAUCCACAUAAGUACGGGACAUCGCUAUAUAUAUUAUUGUACAUGAAACUUAACUUGGGGGUGGUGGUGUUAAAAUAAUACUGAGAAAAAGCUAAUAAAGUUACAGUUGUGCAACAUAAAAACAAAUUUCCACAAAAUCCCCAUGUCAGAUUGCUUUCGUUGGAAGUGAGAAAACUCUUUUCUUGGUCUGAGUUUUCAACUUUUA
This is a long non-coding RNA of Grus americana (Whooping crane), 1766 nucleotides long. RefSeq lists it as uncharacterized. The transcript has 3 exons. NCBI's taxonomy places the organism in Eukaryota, Metazoa, Chordata, Aves, Gruiformes, Gruidae. The record is from RefSeq and is a predicted model, not a curated record.